AAAAGGUACUCCGGGGAUAACAGGCUGAUACCGCCCAAGAGUUCAUAUCGACGGCGGUGUUUGGCACCUCGAUGUCGGCUCAUCACAUCCUGGGGCUGAAGUAGGUCCCAAGGGUAUGGCUGUUCGCCAUUUAAAGUGGUACGCGAGCUGGGUUUAGAACGUCGUGAGACAGUUCGGUCCCUAUCUGCCGUGGGCGCUGGAGAACUGAGGGGGGCUGCUCCUAGUACGAGAGGACCGGAGUGGACGCAUCACUGGUGUUCGGGUUGUCAUGCCAAUGGCACUGCCCGGUAGCUAAAUGCGGAAGAGAUAAGUGCUGAAAGCAUCUAAGCACGAAACUUGCCCCGAGAUGAGUUCUCCCUGAGACUUUAAGUCUCCUGAAGGAACGUUGAAGACGACGACGUUGAUAGGCCGGGUGUGUAAGCGCAGCGAUGCGUUGAGCUAACCGGUACUAAUGAACCGUGAGGCUUAACCUUACAACGCCGAAGGUGUUU
This 491-nucleotide ribosomal RNA is filed under the name Escherichia sp. E2748. RNAcentral's name for it is "partial 23S ribosomal RNA". It matches the Rfam family "Bacterial large subunit ribosomal RNA", at positions 2458 to 2925 of the family's 2925-position model. The record is from RNAcentral. Lineage: Bacteria; Pseudomonadati; Pseudomonadota; Gammaproteobacteria; Enterobacterales; Enterobacteriaceae.